GAGUUGUACAUUUUGUCUACCGAAAGGUAAGUACGAAAUGGAACAAGUCUUUUGUUCUUGUUUGUUUGUUGGGUAAAACUAGCAAAAGAACAAGAAUGGUUACCUUGAAAAAAUUAGAGUGCUCAAAGCAGGCAAUUUUGCUUGAAUAGAUUAGCAUGGAAUAACGAAAUAGGACUUUGGUCUAUUUUGUUGGUUUUUGGGAUCGAAGUA
RNAcentral lists this ribosomal RNA (210 nucleotides) under uncultured fungus. RNAcentral's name for it is "partial small subunit ribosomal RNA". The stretch from base 89 to 210 matches the Rfam family "Eukaryotic small subunit ribosomal RNA", at positions 741 to 864 of the family's 1831-position model. The record is from RNAcentral. Lineage: Eukaryota; Fungi.